AUUGAACGCUGGCGGCAUGCCUUACACAUGCAAGUCGAACGGUAACAGGUCUUCGGAUGCUGACAAGUGGCGAACGGGUGAGUAAUACAUCGGAACGUGCCCGAUCGUGGGGGAUAACGAGGCGAAAGCUUUGCUAAUACCGCAUACGAUCUACGGAUGAAAGCGGGGGAUCUUCGGACCUCGCGCGGACGGAGCGGCCGAUGGCAGAUUAGGUAGUUGGUGGGAUAAAAGCUUACCAAGCCGACGAUCUGUAGCUGGUCUGAGAGGAUGAUCAGCCACACUGGGACUGAGACACGGCCCAGACUCCUACGGGAGGCAGCAGUGGGGAAUUUUGGACAAUGGGCGAAAGCCUGAUCCAGCCAUGCCGCGUGCAGGAUGAAGGCCUUCGGGUUGUAAACUGCUUUUGUACGGAACGAAAAGCCUCUUUCUAAUAAAGAGGGGUCAUGACGGUACCGUAAGAAUAAGCACCGGCUAACUACGUG
Molecule: ribosomal RNA, 482 nt
Filed under: uncultured bacterium
Lineage: Bacteria
Description: partial 16S ribosomal RNA
Rfam family: Bacterial small subunit ribosomal RNA
Source: RNAcentral